AGAGUUUGCCCCUGGCUCAGGAUGAACGCUGGCGGCGUGCCUAACACAUGCAAGUCGAACGGGUGUACGGGAUGGAAGGCUCCGGCCGGAAGCCCCGUGCAUGAGUGGCGGACGGGUGAGUAACGCGUGGGCAACCUGCCCUGUACAGGGGGACAACACUUAGAAAUAGGUGCUAAUACCGCAUAACGGGGGGAGCCGCAUGGCACCCCCCUGAAAACUCCGGUGGUACAGGAUGGGCCCGCGUCUGAUUAGCUUGUUGGCAGGGUAACGGCCUACCAAGGCGACGAUCAGUAGCCGGCCUGAGAGGGCGGACGGCCACACUGGGACUGAGACACGGCCCAGACUCCUACGGGAGGCAGCAGUGGGGGAUAUUGCACAAUGGGGGGAACCCUGAUGCAGCGACGCCGCGUGGGUGAAGGAGCGUUUCGGCGCGUAAAGCCCUAUCGGCAGGGAAGAUCCAAGACGGUACCUGCAGAAGAAGCUCCGGCUAACUACGUGCCAGCAGCCGCGGUAAUACGUAGGGGGCGAGCGUUAUCCGGAUUCAUUGGGCGUAAAGCGCGCGUAGGCGGCCGCCUAAGCGGGACCUCUAACCCCGGGGCUCAACCCCGGGUCGGGUCCCGGACUGGGCGGCUCGAGUGCGGUAGAGGAGAGCGGAAUUCCCGGUGUAGCGGUGGAAUGCGCAGAUAUCGGGAAGAACACCGAUGGCGAAGGCAGCUCUCUGGGCCGUCACUGACGCUGAGGCGCGAAAGCUGGGGGAGCGAACAGGAUUAGAUACCCUGGUAGUCCCAGCCGUAGACGAUGGGCGCUAGGUGUGGGGGGACGAUCCCUCCGUGCCGCAGCCAACGCAUUAAGCGCCCCGCCUGGGGAGUACGGCCGCAAGGCUAAAACUCAAAGGAAUGGGCGGGGGCCCGCACAAGCAGCGGAGCAUGUGGCUUAAUUCGAAGCAACGCGAAGAACCUUACCAGGGCUUGACAUGCCGAUGAAGCCGGGGAGACCCGGUGGCCGAGAGGAGUCGGCGCAGGUGGUGCAUGGCUGUCGUCAGCUCGUGUCGUGAGAUGUUGGGUUAAGUCCCGCAACGAGCGCAACCCCCGCCCCGUGUUGCCAGCAUUCAGUUGGGGACUCGCGGGGGACUGCCGGCGUCAAGCCGGAGGAAGGUGGGGACGACGUCAAGUCAUCAUGCCCCUUAUGCCGUGGGCUGCACACGUGCUACAAUGGCCGGUACAGAGGGUUGCCACCCCGCGAGGGGGAGCGGAUCCCGGAAAGCCGGUCCCAGUUCGGAUCGCAGGCUGCAACCCGCCUGCGUGAAGCCGGAGUUGCUAGUAAUCGCGGAUCAGCACGCCGCGGUGAAUACGUUCCCGGGCCUUGCACUCACCGCCCGUCA
RNAcentral lists this ribosomal RNA (1381 nucleotides) under uncultured bacterium. RNAcentral's name for it is "bacterial SSU rRNA". It matches the Rfam family "Bacterial small subunit ribosomal RNA". The record is from RNAcentral.